CCUACGGGUUGCAGCAGUGGGGAAUAUUGCACAAUGGGCGCAAGCCUGAUGCAGCCAUGCCGCGUGUGUGAAGAAGGCCUUCGGGUUGUAAAGCACUUUCAGCGAGGAGGAAGGUGGUGAACUUAAUACGUUCGUCAAUUGACGUUACUCGCAGAAGAAGCACCGGCUAACUCCGUGCCAGCAGCCGCGGUAAUACGGAGGGUGCAAGCGUUAAUCGGAAUUACUGGGCGUAAAGCGCACGCAGGCGGUUUGUUAAGUCAGAUGUGAAAUCCCCGGGCUCAACCUGGGAACUGCAUUUGAAACUGGCAAGCUAGAGUCUCGUAGAGGGGGGUAGAAUUCCAGGUGUAGCGGUGAAAUGCGUAGAGAUCUGGAGGAAUACCGGUGGCGAAGGCGGCCCCUGGACGAAGACUGACGCUCAGGUGCGAAAGCGUGGGGAGCAAACAGGAUUAGAUACCCGAGUAGUC
Molecule: ribosomal RNA, 464 nt
Filed under: uncultured bacterium
Lineage: Bacteria
Description: bacterial SSU rRNA
Rfam family: Bacterial small subunit ribosomal RNA
Source: RNAcentral